This is a non-coding RNA of Camellia sinensis, 451 nucleotides long. Lineage: Eukaryota; Viridiplantae; Streptophyta; Magnoliopsida; Ericales; Theaceae. The record is from RefSeq and is a predicted model, not a curated record.
AAUGGGUUGUUUGGACAUUUUUGAGUUCUUGUACUACUAACACAUUUGAUUUACAUAUUACAUCAGCCAAGUAAAAUUUGUUAUGUGUAUAAAAUGUUUAUUGUGCAACCUUACAGAACCAUUCAACUACGAGGCAGGAAAACGACACGGAGAACUGCCCAUAUUACAUCUCAAUCCUUAUAGCUGGUCCAAGGUUGAUAAUUCUAAAAUAAGUAUCCCCACCAAGAAUGCCAUUGGUUGAAAUACAGCUCCAUAGGAAACUUCUGGAGGAGUUGUUGGGUAAUAUGAGUCAUUCAUCAGCCCAGCUUCUUUGUGGGAAGCGUGGUCGUGAUGUACCAAAAUGAAGGCAUUUUCUUGUCAUUUGUUGUGAAAACAAAGCAAUUUUUUUGGAUUUGGUGACGACGUGUGGCCAUGAUGUACCAAAGCAGGACCUCAACAGCAAAUCACUUCU